AAACAGAAAAAAUAUUUUUUUAGCUUGUACAAAUACAUCUAAAAACAACAAAUUCGUAUUCUAAUCUGACUCCCAUAACCCAAAAUAGAUUUAACAACAUUCAUUAUAUAAAAUAGUUCUUUCUCCAGUAUCAUCAAAUUUUACCAGUCAAAGAAUGUUUAGUGAAUGAGGCACUCUAAUUAUUUGCCGUCAUCACAAAGCUACUUAAAAUAAUUUGGGUUCAAAGCGUGAGAAAGGAAUAGUUCAACUUUCUUUUUCUUUUUUUUUUGAGAGAUAGGUAGCACGCUACCCGCUUCGUUUAUUUCAUUUAGAAAUAAACUUAGCUGGAAAUAUGGAUCAACUAGGAUUUGAACUUGGAUAUCGGGUACCAACCACCAAGCCUUUUGCCACUUGCUCUAGAGACGGUCGGUAGGAAUAGUUCAACUUAAACAUAAUUGCUAACAGUAGAUGAGUA
RNAcentral lists this long non-coding RNA (454 nucleotides) under Ananas comosus (pineapple). RNAcentral describes it as "long non-coding RNA (ACOM_LNC034008)". The record is from RNAcentral. Lineage: Eukaryota; Viridiplantae; Streptophyta; Magnoliopsida; Poales; Bromeliaceae.